Medicago truncatula (barrel medic) is the source of this 98-nucleotide small nucleolar RNA. It matches the Rfam family "Small nucleolar RNA Z157/R69/R10". Rfam says of the family: Z157, R69 and R10 are members of the C/D class of snoRNA which contain the C (UGAUGA) and D (CUGA) box motifs. Most of the members of the box C/D family function in directing site-specific 2'-O-methylation of substrate RNAs. NCBI's taxonomy places the organism in Eukaryota, Viridiplantae, Streptophyta, Magnoliopsida, Fabales, Fabaceae. The record is from Rfam.
AUUGUGCAGUGAAGAUACAAUAUGUGGACUAGAGUUUCUGAUCUGGGAAUCUUCACCCAGAAAUUGAUUAUCAAACCCUUGGCUGUCUGAGCACGCAU